Non-coding RNA from Acanthosepion pharaonis, 115 nucleotides. The record is from the annotation of a GenBank genome assembly. NCBI's taxonomy places the organism in Eukaryota, Metazoa, Mollusca, Cephalopoda, Sepiida, Sepiidae.
UACGAUCAUAGCACGUUAAAACACCGCUUUUUAUAUACGAUCACCGAAGUUAAGCAAUGUCGAGACUGGUCAGUACCGAGAUGGGUGACCGUUUAUGAAUACCGGGUGUUGUAAU